Acanthosepion pharaonis is the source of this 113-nucleotide non-coding RNA. NCBI's taxonomy places the organism in Eukaryota, Metazoa, Mollusca, Cephalopoda, Sepiida, Sepiidae. The record is from the annotation of a GenBank genome assembly.
UUACGGCUAUAUCACGUUAAAACAAUUGUUCUCGUCCGAUCACCGAAGUUAAGCAACGUCGAGCAUUGUCAAUAACUAGAUGCGUGUCCGCUUGGGAAUACCAGAUGCAGUAA